GGGGAUGUAACUCAAGUGGUAGAGCACUCGCUUUGCAUGCGAGAGGUACGGGGUUCGAUAUCUCGCAUCUCCA
Molecule: transfer RNA, 73 nt
Filed under: Nelumbo nucifera (sacred lotus)
Lineage: Eukaryota; Viridiplantae; Streptophyta; Magnoliopsida; Proteales; Nelumbonaceae
Rfam family: tRNA
About the family: Transfer RNA (tRNA) molecules are approximately 80 nucleotides in length.
Source: Rfam by way of RNAcentral